CUUGCUCCAGUGUCAAACACAGAUAUCUUCUUUUGUCCAAAACUUUGAUCUGUUUUUUUGUGAUUUAUUAUUUUUGAUUGAUUUUAGCAUGAUUUUUGAUGCAGAGAAAAAUGGUCUUCUAAAACCAGGAGAUUUCAAUUCAAUGCUUGAUUCUUUCGCACUACCACCAUAGUUUUCUUUGUUCAAUGUCUCUGACUUUUUAGUUUCUUCUUUUAGGGUGUCCUGAUUGAGCCAACAAGUGGAAACAUCGAAGAUGGGUUAGCACUAGUCAUGAGCACGGGGCAAGUACCCGGCACUUUUGAGGAAGCGACCACACUACUUUGUCUCCUCCAGGAUAUCCUCGCCAGUUCAUCAUAAGUUUCUUCUAUGAACUUUCCAGAUUUUUUAAGUUGACCCUCAUGUCUGCCACCGUCAAUGGUUCACAUGCUCGCGACUUUACGACACCGGUUCAAGACUGGUUCGAAAAAUUCUUAAAAUGCACUAUACCAAUGAUUUGUCUGUUGAUCAGAUCAAACGAUGAGAAGAGGAAACCAUCAGUUGCUCCUCCUUCCGGGUUAGGAAUACAAUGAAGUUGACUAAAGAGAUAGAAAAAGAAGCUGGAAAUUGGUUCAUAAAGUUUAUAGAAAAAGCUUUGGAGAAGGGGAUGAAGAAGUGUAAAGGCACGGGUGAUGCAGAUGUUAACAAGUUCCACUGUCUCUGAUUUUCUAAGUUGUAAACUAGGUGAAAGCAGAACAGACUGCUGAUAGCACGAGAUAUAGGUACAUCCAAAAGCAUCAUAGGUCACUAGAAAGCUCAGAAUCAAAAUGAAGAAUUUAAACAUGAUUCUUUUAUAUUGUUCUCACUUCUAUUUCAAAGGCUUUUUUUUGAACAA
This is a long non-coding RNA of Raphanus sativus (radish), 871 nucleotides long. RefSeq lists it as uncharacterized. The record is from RefSeq and is a predicted model, not a curated record. Lineage: Eukaryota; Viridiplantae; Streptophyta; Magnoliopsida; Brassicales; Brassicaceae. The transcript has 3 exons.